AUCAGUCAGGCCCACGCACAGUUAUCCGGAGGCCUAACCGUCUCCCUGUGAUGCUGUGCUUCAGUGGUCACACUCCUAGUCUGCUUUCAUGUUCCAUCCUGUACACGUGGCUCUGCCUUUUAGAUAACAGUAGCAAAAUUAGUGAAAGUACUAAAAGUCUCUGAUAUGCAGAAAUAAUGGCGUAAGCUGUCUCUCUCUCUCUGCCUCGGCUGCCAGGCAGGGGAGGGCCCCCUGUCCAGUGGACACGUAACCCACGUGACCCUACCUAUCAUUGGAGAUGACUCACACUAUUUACCCUGCCCCUUUUGCUUUGUAUCCAAUAAAUAAUAGCGCAGCCAGACAUUCGGGGCCACUACCAGUCUCCGCGUCUUGGUGGGAGUGGUCCCCUGGGCCCAGCUGUCUUUUCUUUUAUCUCUUUGUCUCGUGUCUUUAUUUCCACAAUCUCUCGUCUCCACACACGGUGGGAAGAAACCCACCGACCCUGUGGGGCUGGUCCCUACACCAAUAAAUUGUCAAAAAUCACAAAGUACGCUAGGAAACAAUGUACCAUCAGCAGAAACCAGGAUUCAUAAACGACAGCAGAAUCAGACCUGCAAAAACAUCACCCAUGCAAUUAUUAGGCAGAGAUUAUAAAAUUUCAUAUUUGAAGAAAUAAAAGAGAUGACUGAAAGUCUGAAUACAGAGCAAGAGAUAAUUUUAAAAUUUCAUGUAGGUUUUCUAAAAAACCAUUGGGAAUGUCUUAAAACAAACUGGUAACUGGAAUUUAACACUUAAUCAAUGGGUUAACAAAAGACUAGGAAGAGCUUAAAAGAGAAUUCAUAAAAUAGAACACAGAUGUGAUAAAAUUAUCUAGAAUCAAGUAAAACUGAUGACGUAAUAGGAUAACAAUUCUAAACCUAUAUAUGCACAUACUAACAUAGUCUCAAAAUACAUAAAAUGAAAACUGACAGAAACUUAAGGAGAAAUAGGUACUCAUUAUCAUAAUGGAACAUUUUAACAUACUUCUCUCAGUAAUUGAUAGAGCAAGAAGACAAAAAUCAGUAAGGAUAAGAACUGGAUAAUGCAAUCAACAAGUUCUACCUGGUGGACUGAGAGAGAGAAUUGUACCAUAACCUGAUGAAUGCAUGUUGUUUUAAAGCAUGUAUGGAAUGUUUAUAAACUGGUCCAUUCAAA
Molecule: long non-coding RNA, 1173 nt
Filed under: Homo sapiens (human)
Lineage: Eukaryota; Metazoa; Chordata; Mammalia; Primates; Hominidae
Description: HSALNT0197714
Source: RNAcentral